CGGGGCGUAGCGCAGUCUGGUAGCGCACCUGUAUGGGGUGCAGGUGGUCGGAGGUUCAAAUCCUCCCGUCCCGACCA
Molecule: transfer RNA, 77 nt
Filed under: Tamilnaduibacter salinus
Lineage: Bacteria; Pseudomonadati; Pseudomonadota; Gammaproteobacteria; Pseudomonadales; Marinobacteraceae
Also listed under: 1 other name
Description: tRNA-Pro
Rfam family: tRNA
About the family: Transfer RNA (tRNA) molecules are approximately 80 nucleotides in length. Their secondary structure includes four short double-helical elements and three loops (D, anti-codon, and T loops).
Source: RNAcentral